RNAcentral lists this unclassified non-coding RNA (792 nucleotides) under Hevea brasiliensis (rubber tree). Lineage: Eukaryota; Viridiplantae; Streptophyta; Magnoliopsida; Malpighiales; Euphorbiaceae. The record is from RNAcentral.
AAGAAAAUAAGAAUUCUUUUAAUGCAUUAAACUAUGGGAUUGUAAACUUCCACAUUCAAAAACUGGUGAGAAUUUCAACUAGGAUCAUUGACUUUCAAAAACUAUGGCAGGAUUUUCACUCAUGCCCCAGCCAUAUUCUAUAUUUAUUAAAACAUCAUGAGCUGCUAGAUACAUAUAUUUUGAUAUUAUACAUGGAAGGAGAAGUUCACAAAGUUCCACAAAUUCCCAUAUAUAAUAAAAUUUCCACAGCUUUAUGGAAAAUUUAUUACACAUGGAAGCAGAAGAAUUUUGAGUAUUUGACUUUAUCCAUCAACAAAUUCAUUCCAAUAUCCAUAAACAUUUAUAAUAGAAGCACAAAAUGGAACAAAACAAAGCAUGCCUUUAUCAUAUAACCUUUGCCUCGAAAAAUUUUCACUUUCAAUACUCAUUAUUAACUUUCCUGCCAAUUGGCUCUACAAGUAGAUAGAAAUGACACGAAUAUACAGAGAAGAAACACAAAAAUAAGAACAUAAACUAAUUUAAAUUAAUCAUAAUUCACUUUAGACAUAUAACAUCUGAAAGUUCACAUGUCAAAGAAAAACAAUUUGUUUGACAUAAACAAAACCAAAUUGAAGAAAAAUAACAAAAACUUUCAAGCUUGUAACGUCACUAUUUUUCACUUGAGCAGCAGUGCUUGCUUGCAUGUACUAAACCAACCAAAUUUUUUCCUUUUUCCUGAUUUUAGUCGGUACCGAUUAUUGAGUCUGGUUUGUGGUUCUUCUGCUACUUAGCUGGCUAAUUUACGUCAAUCUU